RNAcentral lists this ribosomal RNA (253 nucleotides) under uncultured bacterium. RNAcentral's name for it is "partial 16S ribosomal RNA". It matches the Rfam family "Bacterial small subunit ribosomal RNA", at positions 524 to 776 of the family's 1533-position model. The record is from RNAcentral.
UACGUAGGGAGCGAGCGUUGUCCGGAAUUACUGGGUGUAAAGGGAGCGUAGGCGGGAUUGCAAGUUGGAUGUGAAAACUGCGGGCUCAACCCGGAGAGUGCAUUCAAAACUGCGAUUCUUGAGUGAAGUAGAGGCAAGCGGAAUUCCUAGUGUAGCGGUGAAAUGCGUAGAUAUUAGGAGGAACACCAGUGGCGAAGGCGGCUUGCUGGGCUUUUACUGACGCUGAGGCUCGAAAGUGUGGGGAGCAAACAGG